RNAcentral lists this ribosomal RNA (117 nucleotides) under Pteropus alecto (black flying fox). Lineage: Eukaryota; Metazoa; Chordata; Mammalia; Chiroptera; Pteropodidae. The record is from RNAcentral.
GUCUACGGCCAUGCUAUCCUGAACGUGCCCGAUCUCAUCUGAUCUCAGAAGCUAAACAGGAUUGGGCCUGGUGUACUUAGAUGGGAGACCACUUAGGAGUACCAGGUGCUGUAGGCA